CGCCUCGAACCGCUGCGUAAAGGCGGAGCUAAGCUGAAACACAGAACCAUAGGCGGAGACGGGAGCGCAUACGCACGGCUGUAUCUCUGGCUCUGAUUGGUCUAUUUUGACACACAAUGGCUCGUUUGAAAGCUGAAAGUGUCUACAAUUGGACGAAACGGCUGUCAGUCAAAGUCAAUGGAGCUUUUCGAAUUUCCCGCUGUGUUUUUUUCGACGCUGAAUAAAUUAUGUGCGCUUUUCUAACGCUAAGUCCUAACGCUCUGAGUCUGAUUACAAAAAAACAAAGCGCACUGGAUUAUAAUACUCUGAUGGAUUUUGAAGAGGACAUCUGUGGCUAAAUGGAAAGCUGUAUACUACUUUUAUUUCUCAACCCUGAUGGAUUAAAUUUCGAUGGGGAAGUUCAGGAUUUAAAUGCUCCAGGGAAAAAUAGCGUUUUUUUCAUCUUGGCCAACCCACUCGUUAGGACUCCCCCUAUCACUAGUAAUGCCCCAACACACCAGGAGGAUGAAGACUAGCACACUCUUUCUCCGAUACAUGUGAAGUCAGUCACCGCUUCUUUUCGAGCUGCUGCUGAUGCAGCAUUGCCAAGGAGCCAGCACAUUUGGAGGAAAGCGCAGCGGCAGGUGAAGUGCGUAAUAUGGACAGUGUGCACUUUGCACUUGUGCAACUUUUUUUUAAAAACAGUUUGAUUUGUUUCUGCUAUAUUUUGAUUCAUAGCUUUAUAUAAAAUGAAAAUAACUUAUAACUAUAUUAUUUUCUUUAGCCCGAGGUACCUGAGGAAAGUGGUGGGAAAUCUCGAGCCAGUGACAUGUUGAACUACACUGCCAGUUUGAGGGAAUGUCAUUGCCAUCCACUGCAAAGGAGGCAAAGGGCGCACGGGUACGAUGGUGUGUACAUGGUUGAUUGACAGCGUUUAGUUUGAGAGUGCGCAGGUGUGGGAAAGGGCAAUGGCAGUGAUCUGAAGGUGCGGAUCAUAGUGAAAAGAGAGCAGGUGUUCCAGUGUGUCUGUGCCACGCAGACGAACUGUAGGCUGUUCCCAGAUACUGAAAACAAUGCCGUGGUGAUCAGCUUUCAGGAAGGGCCAGUGGUUUGUGGUGAUGUUAAGGUCAUGUUUGAAUCCAGGGCUGGUCUUCCAAAGGGGUAUGAGGACUAUCCUUUCUAUUUCUGGUUCAACACUUCAUUUGUAGAGAACAACAGGCUCUAUCUGUCAAGGGAGGAACUGGACAACCCACGUAAGUCCAAAACCUGGGACAUCUACAAGGAGGACUUUGGUGUGACCGUGUCUUUCAGUGACCCUGCACUUAUGUAGCAGACGACACUUGCUUGUGUAUCUCAACUAAAACCCUUAAGCCCUGCACAAGGUCUAAAUCUUUGCUCUAAUGUAGGUUUUCACACACUUAUAAAAGGUGAGUGAUGUUUAGGGAUUGGAUUCGGGUAUAUUGUGCCCCUAAAGCUAUAGCUAUAGCUAUAUAACCUCAACUUUAUGUCCAUCCCCCAUCUUCACUGUAAGAGCUUUUUACUGAGCCGUGCAUACACCACAAUAUUAUGCAUUUGUUUGUCAAAUGUUUUUUUGUCUUUAAAUGAAGACAAAUGUUUGUGUCAGUUUAGCAUAUUAAGCCUCCAAAAUGUAAAUCUUACUCUUUAAGCUUGAGUGUACAUCAAAUAAAGCAAUAGAGGCUGCCACUGUGAAAUGGUCAAUGGUUAUGUGUGCAGAAACAUGUUUUUGUAGUACACAUGUAUUGAAAUAAAUACUAAUGUCUCUGUAA
Astyanax mexicanus (Mexican tetra) is the source of this 1766-nucleotide long non-coding RNA. RefSeq lists it as uncharacterized. The transcript is spliced from 8 exons. The record is from RefSeq and is a predicted model, not a curated record. NCBI's taxonomy places the organism in Eukaryota, Metazoa, Chordata, Actinopteri, Characiformes, Acestrorhamphidae.